ACUGACUCUCUUUUUGGACUCAGCCCACCUGCACCCAGGUGAAAUAAACAGCUUUAUUGCUCACACAAAGCCUGUUUGGUGGUCUCUUCACACAGACACGUGUGAAAUUUGGUGCCGUGACUCGGAUCGGGGGACCUCCCUUGGGAGAUCAAUCCCCCGUCCUCCUGCUCUUUGCUCCAUGAGAAAGAUCCACCUACGACCUCAGGUCCUCAGACCGACCAGCCCAAGAAACAUCUCACCAAUUUCAAAUCCGGACCCCACUGAAAAUCGGACUGUUCAACUCACCUGGCAGCCACUCCCAGAGCCCCUGGAACUCUGGCCCAAGGCUCUCUGACUGACUCCUUCCCAGAUCUUCUCGGCUUAGCGGCUGAAGACUGAUACUGCCCGAUCGCCUCAGAAGCCCCCUAGACCAUCACGGAUGCCGAGCUUCAGGUAACUCUCACAAUGGAAGAAGGCAGGAACGUCAGGCCUCUGAGCCCAAGCCAAGCCAUCGCAUCCCCUGUGACUUGCACAUAUACACCCAGAUGGCCUGAAGUAACUGAAGAAUCACAAAAGAAGUGAAAAGGCCCUGCCCCGCCUUAACUGAUGACAUUCCACCAUUGUGAUUUGUUCCUGCCCCACCUUAACUGAGUGAUUAACCCUGUGAAUUUCCUUCUCCUGGCUCAGAAGCUCCCCCACUGCACCUUGUGACCCCCGCCCCUGCCCACCAGAGAACAACCCCCUUUGACUGUAAUUUUCCAUUACCUUCCCAAAUCCUAUAAAACGGCCCCACCCUUAUUUCCCUUCACUGACUCUCUUUUUGGACUCAGCCCACCUGCACCCAGGUGAAAUAAACAGCUUUAUUGCUCACACAAA
Molecule: long non-coding RNA, 855 nt
Organism: Homo sapiens (human)
Lineage: Eukaryota; Metazoa; Chordata; Mammalia; Primates; Hominidae
Source: Ensembl